This is a long non-coding RNA of Vicia villosa (hairy vetch), 2171 nucleotides long. RefSeq lists it as uncharacterized. The transcript is spliced from 6 exons. The record is from RefSeq and is a predicted model, not a curated record. NCBI's taxonomy places the organism in Eukaryota, Viridiplantae, Streptophyta, Magnoliopsida, Fabales, Fabaceae.
UCCACCUUCAUCCUUCCUCUGUCUCUCUCCCAAUGUUGUCAUCAACCAUAAUUCGCUAGAUCUCUUAUUCUACCUGCAUCGCCAUUCAACAUCGUUAGUUGUCGUCUCUCUCUGAUUCAAAUCUGUCAAACCACAAGGAACUCUUCAAUCAUAAAGGAAGCAUAUGAUUCUACCUCUCAAUCAUAAACUCUUCUCUGUUGGAAACGAAUGGCUAAGGAAAGGAAGCAAGAGAUUCUACGGCUCAGAGAAGAUUUGAAAGAAUCUCAAGAUGCUUUACUUUGUGACCUCUUUCGUGAGAGUGCUUCUUGCAAGUGUUAUUUGUUCAAUGAUUUAGGGGAAUUAAAUCCAAAGCAUCAUGGAAGUAAAUCUUUCAUCGGGUUCAAUGACGUACUUUGUCGAAGAUUUCUAAGACAAGUGCGAUUUAAGGAAAGGGGAGAAGGAUUUGUUCUUUGUCUUCUUCAGGUAAAGUUGGUUUGAGAAUAUAAUGAGUGGUGACAAAUCCGACGGCGAAUUUGUCAAUAGGUUAUGCUAUCAAUUGCAAAAUUUUAAUCAAAUUCAUUCUCUCUGUUGUUAAAUUUAAAGUCUUUCGUUUUUGGAAUGAUGUGGUGAUUUUUUGGAAGGUCUUUAUGUAUAAAGGUUUUAAUGUCUUUAUGUAUAAUGGUUUUAAACUCUUCACUUUUAUUAGUUACUAUCUGUUGUUUCAGCUUGGAUACAAACUCAAAGACGACCAAGCUGAGAGUUUAGCGUUUCAUAGCUGUGACUGAGAAAAAUUAGGAAUUCUAAAACGGAAUUUAUUCUUAAGGAUCAUACCUGCUUUCUGAGAUGAUUGAUACUAUGUUGAACUGUUCUUCAGUUAUUUCCUUAAUUUUCUAAUUUAAACUAAUAUCGUCAUAAUAUGCUCAUUUUCGUCAUAAUAUGGUUUUAUUCUUAAGGAUCAUACCUACUUUCUGAGAUGAUUGAUACUGCAAGUUGAUUGAUCAUGAAGAAAUUAUAGCAUUGCUUUCAAAAGGGUUUUGAUAUCUUUCAUAUGAUUAUUUGGUAAUAGUUUCCUUGAUAAAUUUGAAUUGUUGGAUUGCGAAAUUUUAUUAAAGACUAACAUUAACAUUUGUGUUGUUCAGGACCAAUUUGCAGUCUUUCAAGCAUUAACAUUAACAUUGUACUAUUUGCAAUCCAUUUGCAUGCUGCUUUUUUGAGAUCUUUGAUUUGCGUUAAUUAUUUUAUGAGAUCCUCUUUUUAUGCUCAUUGUUAAGGUUCUUUGAGAAAUAACUAAUAGUUGGACAAUGAGAAUGUCCUUAGUUUAACUGCUUAAUUAUAUGGUGGUUUUUGAUACUGUUUUAUUUUAUUUUACGCCUACAGGUAUGAAGAUGGAAAUACAACUUUGAUGAAGUUUUCUACAGCUGCAAAUUUUAUAUGGUCAGAUGCUCCCCUGGAGAUUUUUGGUUAUGUUACUUCUAUAAGCUUUACUGAUCCAGCUGAUAUACCAAUCAAGGAUGACAAGCUGACUGACAUUUUAUAUUCUGACAUGAAAAUUGAAUUUAAUAAAAAAUCUCAUUUUAAAUUUUAUCCAAAUUGAGAAAAUUCCAAAUUCUCCAAUGUUCCCUUAUUAAUUGUUAUCAGAACCAUUGUGUGCAGUUUGGAACAGAUACAUGUAUGGCAUUCAUAUGUUGGUUCACUAAAGUUCAAUUGUGUGUAGUUUGGAACAUAUACAGGCAUGCCAUGGCAUUCAUGUGUGGUAUAACUAUUGACAGCACAAAUUUAAAAAGCUUCAUGUGCAACGCUGAUAAUAGCUGAAGAAAAAGUAUUCUGAGCUUCAAGAGUCACAUAAUGCUUUAUGAGAAGUUGUAAAGUUGCUUGAACAAACCGCAUAUUAUAAUCAUUCAGCACACAAGGUGUUUGUGAUUGUGGCAGCACCCAAGGAAGGGUUUGAAAUGUUAUUUGUUUCUCACAUUCAUCAGCUAGCAACUAUUCGUAAAACUUGUGGUACAGUUACAUGACACUGUCAGUUCAGUCUAAGUGUAGGGAUAUUAUGUAUAUUAUGUGUAGUGAUUCAGUCUUACUGGUAAUAGAUUAUAACUUAUGUUCUUGUAUCUUGUGGAUGUUUGCAUCUUUAAGUUGACUCAUACACUAUUUAUAGCUGUAAACUAAAUAAUUGAUGCUUCACAUUUUAUUAA